Molecule: transfer RNA, 65 nt
Filed under: marine eukaryotic metagenome
Rfam family: tRNA
About the family: Transfer RNA (tRNA) molecules are approximately 80 nucleotides in length. Their secondary structure includes four short double-helical elements and three loops (D, anti-codon, and T loops).
Source: RNAcentral
GCAUAGCUCAGUUGGCAGAGCGAUGCUUUCGUAAAGCAAAGGUCGUGGGUUCGAUUCCCUCUGCG